This 63-nucleotide transfer RNA is filed under the name Teispes insularis. RNAcentral's name for it is "tRNA-Glu". The record is from RNAcentral. Lineage: Eukaryota; Metazoa; Arthropoda; Insecta; Coleoptera; Cerambycidae.
GUUCUUAUAGUUUAAAAAAAACUUUACAUUUUCAUUGUAAAAUUAGAUAAUAUCUUAAGAAUC